Long non-coding RNA from Gadus chalcogrammus (walleye pollock), 941 nucleotides. RefSeq lists it as uncharacterized. The record is from RefSeq and is a predicted model, not a curated record. Lineage: Eukaryota; Metazoa; Chordata; Actinopteri; Gadiformes; Gadidae. The transcript is spliced from 3 exons.
GGAUGUUCAGUCAUUUUACCAGCCUAAUAAUGGUAAGUGAACCACUUCACAUAACUAAAAAACUAUCAGGUCGGACAGAUUUUAAAUGUGCUUUGUCUGAGUUAUAGCAAUCAUAGUUUAUGUUUUGUGUUCUCUCAUUUUAGACUUUUGUGGAAACUUCUUGGCAGAGCUAGAGUCAACAGAUCUCUGUAAUGAUGACUUUCCUGGCAAUCACCAUCAACACCCCCAGGGCUAUACAGACAUUGCUGCCAACCAAAACACCAAGAUGCUAACGGAGCUACUCAUGGAGGUGAAGCAAAUGUCACGGGACAUUCAGUUCAUAAAGACUGAAAUUGCCAAAUCCUCCAUGAGUAUUCCUGGAGCGGGAUCACAGAGAGAGGAGCCCUUCCCCAUUGUUCUGCCACUCGCCAAUGAGGAGCAGUUUGAUGAGGCUGAAGCUGCACUGAAGGAGGAAUUAGACCUUCGAAAUAUGGUGAACCAUUUUUUCAUACAAGUAUUUUCUUACAUUUUGUCAGGAAUUGUAGGUUUGGAGGCAUUAAAGGGAUAGUUUGGAUUUUUGGACAAGAGGUCGUAUUACAUCCUCAUCAGCGGUGUCGGGCAUCAGCAGUGCCUUUUCCCCCACUGCGUCCCGUGAGCGGAGUUCUGGCCCGGUUUUUGCGCUGCAGAAAGUAGUUUUGCUUCAAAAAAUAAUAUGCAUUCAAAAGAGUAAUACAUUUGCAUCACGAAUUGUUGGCCGUGAAAAAGUCUGACCUCAUCCGGCACUAUUUUCCCUCCCUUCAUAUUACUGGGCGUACCUUUUCAUCAGCUGAAGGAGGCAAAAGGAGACCGCUACGACGCUUCUCUCGCUGUCCAUUUGACAUGGCACAUUGUACACUUUAGCAAACUAACCAUUUUCUCUCUAAUCUGUUAAGAUUACCCGCUUGGCAUUAGUCGGAGGGACC